UACGAGUGCCCCAAGCGUUAUCCGGAAUCAUUGGGCGUAAAGGGUGUGUAGGCGGUUAUGUUAGUCUCAUGUUAAAGCCUCCGGCUCAACCGGAGAAUCGCAUGGGAAACGGCAUAACUAGAGGAUGCAAGGGGUGUGCGGAACUCAUGGUGUAGGGGUGAAAUCCGUUGAUAUCAUGGGGAACACCAAAAGCGAAGGCAGCACACUGGUGUAUUCCUGACGCUGAGACACGAAAGCGUGGGUAGCGAAUGGG
RNAcentral lists this unclassified non-coding RNA (253 nucleotides) under uncultured Parcubacteria group bacterium. Its description in RNAcentral is "contains 16S-23S intergenic spacer region". It matches the Rfam family "Bacterial small subunit ribosomal RNA", at positions 524 to 776 of the family's 1533-position model. The record is from RNAcentral.